UACAGAGGUCCCAAGCGUUGUUCGGAAUCACUGGGCGUAAAGGGUGCGUAGGCGGCGCGGAAAGUCAGGGGUGAAAUCCCGGAGCUCAACUCCGGAACUGCCUUUGAUACUCCCGCGCUUGAGAACUGGAGGGGAGACCGGAAUUCACGGCGGAGCAGUGAAAUGCGUGGAUAUCGUGAGGAACACUAGUGGCGAAGGCGGGUCUCUGGACAGUAUCUGACGCUGAGGCACGAAGGCCAGGGGAGCGAACGGG
This 253-nucleotide ribosomal RNA is filed under the name uncultured bacterium. Its description in RNAcentral is "partial 16S ribosomal RNA". It matches the Rfam family "Bacterial small subunit ribosomal RNA", at positions 524 to 776 of the family's 1533-position model. The record is from RNAcentral.